UGCCAGCAGCCGCGGUAAUACGGAAGGUGCAAGCGUUAAUCGGGAUUACUGGGCGUAAAGCGCGCGUAGGUGGUUUAUUAAGUGGGAUGUGAAAGCCCCGGGCUUAACCUGGGAACUGCAUUCCAAACUGAUGAACUAGAGUACGAUAGAGGGGGGUAGAAUUCAGAGUGUAGCGGUGAAAUGCGUAGAUAUUCUGAGGAAUACCGGUGGCGAAGGCGGCCCCCUGGAUUGAUACUGACACUGAGGUGUGAAAGCGUGGGUAGCAAACAGGAUUACUUA
Molecule: ribosomal RNA, 279 nt
Filed under: uncultured bacterium
Lineage: Bacteria
Description: partial 16S ribosomal RNA
Rfam family: Bacterial small subunit ribosomal RNA
Source: RNAcentral